UACGGAGGACGCGAGCGUUAUCCGGAUUCAUUGGGUUUAAAGGGUGCGCAGGCGGGCGCGCAAGUCGGCGGUGAAAAGCAUCGGCUCAACCGGGGUCGUGCCGUCGAUACUGCGCGUCUUGAGUGCGGUCGAGGCAGGCGGAAUGUGGCGUGUAGCGGUGAAAUGCAUAGAUAUGCCACAGAACACCGUUGGCGGAGGCGGCUUGCCAGCCCUGCACUGACGCUCAUGCACGAAAGCGUGGGGAUCGAAC
This 250-nucleotide ribosomal RNA is filed under the name uncultured prokaryote. RNAcentral describes it as "partial 16S ribosomal RNA". It matches the Rfam family "Bacterial small subunit ribosomal RNA", at positions 524 to 773 of the family's 1533-position model. The record is from RNAcentral.